Molecule: long non-coding RNA, 262 nt
Filed under: Ornithorhynchus anatinus (platypus)
Lineage: Eukaryota; Metazoa; Chordata; Mammalia; Monotremata; Ornithorhynchidae
Description: lncRNA (ENSOANG00000041762.1)
Source: RNAcentral
AUGGGUGCCACGGGAAGGCUGCGUCCUCUCCACCUGGACGAGGGAAGCAAACUAAAUUUUGAUUCCCAGGCAGCCCAACAACUUUUGCUGCAAAGCACAUUGCUUACAGUGUGCUUUCUGGGGUGCCGUGUGCCACUCUGCGGCUUUUAACCAGAAGUGCGCUGCCUUGACGCAGAGGUAAGCUUGUUUAUUCCCAGGUAUUGGGCUCUCUCAAAACCUGUUUUAAGGCAAGCCUACAGGUCCCUGAGAAGAAGUGGACUGU